GGAGUUGUGGCUCAGUGGUGGAGUGCUCGCCUCGCAUGUGUGAGGUGCUGGGUUCGAUCCUCAGCACCA
RNAcentral lists this transfer RNA (69 nucleotides) under Marmota marmota marmota (Alpine marmot). It matches the Rfam family "tRNA". Rfam says of the family: Transfer RNA (tRNA) molecules are approximately 80 nucleotides in length. Their secondary structure includes four short double-helical elements and three loops (D, anti-codon, and T loops). RNAcentral also lists the same sequence under 1 other name. Lineage: Eukaryota; Metazoa; Chordata; Mammalia; Rodentia; Sciuridae. The record is from Rfam by way of RNAcentral.